ACUCCUACGGGAGGCAGCAGUGGGGAAUAUUGCACAAUGGGCGCAAGCCUGAUGCAGCAACGCCGCGUGAGCGAUGAAGGCCUUCGGUCGUAAAGCUCUGUCCUCAAGGAAGAAUAAAUGACGGUACUUGAGGAGGAAGCCCGGGCUAACUACGUGCCAGCAGCCGCGGUAAUACGUAGGGGGCAAGCGUUAUCCGGAAUCACUGGGCGUAAAGGGUGCGUAGGCGGUUUUCAAGUCAGAAGUGAAAGGCUAUGGCUCAACCAUAGUAAGCUUUUGAAACUGUUAAACUUGAGUGCAGGAGAGGAAAGUGGAAUUCCUAGUGUAGAGGUGAAAUUCGUAGAUAUUAGGAGGAACACCAGUGGCGAAGGCGACUUUCUGGACUGUAACUGACGCUGAGGCACGAAAGCGUGGGGAGCGAACAGGAUUAGAUACCCUGGUAGCACAGAG
RNAcentral lists this ribosomal RNA (447 nucleotides) under uncultured bacterium. Its description in RNAcentral is "bacterial SSU rRNA". It matches the Rfam family "Bacterial small subunit ribosomal RNA", at positions 335 to 799 of the family's 1533-position model. The record is from RNAcentral.